Molecule: ribosomal RNA, 253 nt
Filed under: uncultured bacterium
Lineage: Bacteria
Description: partial 16S ribosomal RNA
Rfam family: Bacterial small subunit ribosomal RNA
Source: RNAcentral
UACGUAGGGGGCAAGCGUUGUCCGGAAUCAUUGGGCGUAAAGAGCGUGUAGGCGGCCUUUUAAGUCCUGCGUGAAAUCCUGCGGCUCAACCGCAGACGGUCGUGGGAAACUGGAAGGCUAGAGUGCGGGAGAGGAGAGUGGAAUUCCCGGUGUAGCGGUGAAAUGCGCAGAUAUCGGGAAGAACACCCGUGGCUAAGGCGGCUCUCUAGUACGGUACUGACGCUGAGACGCGAAAGCGUGGGGAGCGAACAGG